Molecule: transfer RNA, 53 nt
Filed under: Lasius niger
Lineage: Eukaryota; Metazoa; Arthropoda; Insecta; Hymenoptera; Formicidae
Rfam family: tRNA
About the family: Transfer RNA (tRNA) molecules are approximately 80 nucleotides in length. Their secondary structure includes four short double-helical elements and three loops (D, anti-codon, and T loops).
Source: Rfam by way of RNAcentral
UAGGAUACCUGGCUCUCACCCAGGAGGCUCGGGUUCGAUUCCCGGUACCGGAA